Molecule: long non-coding RNA, 538 nt
Organism: Anguilla rostrata (American eel)
Lineage: Eukaryota; Metazoa; Chordata; Actinopteri; Anguilliformes; Anguillidae
Exons: 2
Source: RefSeq, a predicted model, not a curated record
GGUAAUUAGCAGGGAGCUUAGGUGUAUAUAAGACUGGAGAAUAUGUUUAGUGGGGAGAGACGGCUGUAGAGAAGAGUUACGUUUCUGGGUGCAGACGAUUUUAAAACCUUUUCUUUUGCAUGGUUGGCUGCAGUUUACCCACUGUGUUUUUGUUAGAGAACUGCAGAGAUGGGUGAGGCAGAAAAAAUGGCUCUAUUCCUUCACUUAGCUUUUGCUGCACCACCCCUGGCGACUGUCUCACAUAGACCCCUCACAUGUGCAGAGUUGGUGCGACCUGGUGGGGAUGUGAGGACACACAGGUGCCAUUGGGGGUGGCUCCUGACAUGAGGAACAGAAUAAAACCACAUGAUGAGAAUGAGAGUGAUGCGAAGAGAGGUUUUUAUCUACACUGGUUAAUAAAUUAAAAAGCUGUAUUCGGGUCCCACUCAAUGUCUUCGCACUGCUUAGUCUCAAAACAUCUCACAAAUGCAUACAAUUUUAUUUCUCGCAAAAAUGCCGUUCUAAAUGUAAUGUGCAACUAUUGGAAGGAAGAGAGCCA